RNAcentral lists this transfer RNA (75 nucleotides) under Armatimonadetes bacterium CG_4_10_14_0_8_um_filter_66_14. RNAcentral's name for it is "tRNA-Glu". It matches the Rfam family "tRNA". From Rfam's summary of the family: Transfer RNA (tRNA) molecules are approximately 80 nucleotides in length. Their secondary structure includes four short double-helical elements and three loops (D, anti-codon, and T loops). Further hydrogen bonds mediate the characteristic L-shaped molecular structure. tRNAs have two regions of fundamental functional importance: the anti-codon, which is responsible for specific mRNA codon recognition, and the 3' end, to which the tRNAs corresponding amino acid is attached (by aminoacyl-tRNA synthetases). tRNAs cope with the degeneracy of the genetic code in two manners: having more than one tRNA (with a specific anti-codon) for a particular amino acid; and 'wobble' base-pairing, i.e. permitting non-standard base-pairing at the 3rd anti-codon position. RNAcentral also lists the same sequence under 1 other name. Lineage: Bacteria; Bacillati; Armatimonadota. The record is from RNAcentral.
GGCGCCAUGGUCUAACGGUUAGGACACCACUCUUUCAAGGUGGUAGCGGGGGUUCGACUCCCCCUGGCGCUACCA